This 1112-nucleotide long non-coding RNA is filed under the name Papio anubis (olive baboon). RNAcentral's name for it is "lncRNA (ENSPANG00000049730.1)". Lineage: Eukaryota; Metazoa; Chordata; Mammalia; Primates; Cercopithecidae. The record is from RNAcentral.
GUUACCUUAAAGUCCUCUUUAGGAAUACCUAAAAGUACCAAUGCCUAGUCUCUAUCCUUGGUUUAAUUGGCCUGGAUUCCGAGUCUUUGGAUUAGAUGCAGAACUUCUUAUACUUUCAUGUACACGUGAUUCCCUGGGCAUCUUGUGGAAAUACAGAUUCUGAUUCAGGAUGUCUGAAGUAGGGUGUGAUUCAGCAUUUCUACCAAAUUUCCACAUGUUGCUUCUGCUGCUGCUGCAGGUAAUUAGAGCGCUGAUUCUCACACUUGGCCAUGCAUUGGGAACACCUGGUGAACUUUCAAAACACUAAGGGUUCUACCCCACCCUCUGAGAUUCUCAUUUAAUUGAUAUGGGGUGUUGCCUGGGUAAUAGGAAUUGUAAAAGCUCCUCAGGUGUUUCUUUUCUUUUCUUUUUUUUUUUUUGAGACGGAGUCUCGCUCUGUCUCCCGGGCUGGAGUGCAGUGGUGCGAUCUUGGCUCAUUGCAAGCUCCGCCUCCCGGGUUCACGCCAUUCCCCUGCUUCAGCCUCCCUAGAAGCUGGGACUACAGGCGCCCGCCACCGCGCCCGGCUAAUUUUCUUGUACUUUUAGUAGAGACGGGGUUUCACCGUUUUAGCCAGGAUGGUCUUGGUCUCCUGACCUCCUGAUCCGCCCGCUUCGGCCUCCCAAAGUGCUGGGAUUACAGGUUUGAGCCACCGCGCCCGGCCUCUGGUGUUUCUAAUUUGGAGAAACACUGUGAUAGAGCUUUUCCAGCCUCAGGACUAGGGUUGACUCAGCUGCUGUAUUUAGUUUCCCUGAAGUUCUUCAAGAAUUUCCCUUUCUCUCCGGGAUCCUUUGCCGUCAGAGGACCAACAUCUCUCCAAGUUGCCAGGAUUUAUUGUCCCUGGUGUUUUCAGACUUCACAGUGAUGAACUCAGAUGUGGAUCUUUAUUUCCUGUGCCAGGACCUUUCAUCUUGAAGACUGGUUUCUUACCUGAGUCAGGACCUGAACUCCUGUGCAUCUUGUCUGAUUUCUGUUUGAUCCCUCAUUAUAUUUAUUGCCUAGGCAUGGAAGGCCAGACAGGAUUUUUGCUCAAGAGUUGUGGUGUUUUCGGAAAGUAGCUAUAUGUCAUGAUAUG